GUGCUGGCUUUGGCAGUACAUAUACUAAAAUUGGAACAAUAUAGAGAAGAUUAGCAUGGACCCUGUGCAAGGAUGGCAAGCAAAUUCAUGAAGCGUUCCAUAUUUUU
Molecule: small nuclear RNA, 107 nt
Organism: Dipodomys ordii (Ord's kangaroo rat)
Lineage: Eukaryota; Metazoa; Chordata; Mammalia; Rodentia; Heteromyidae
Source: Ensembl